GACGAACGCUGGCGGCGUGCUUAACACAUGCAAGUCGAACGGAAAGGCCCUGCUGUUGUCGGGUGCUCGAGUGGCGAACGGGUGAGUAACACGUGAGUAACCUGCCCUUGACUUUGGGAUAACUUCAGGAAACUGGGGCUAAUACCUGAUAGGAGCUCCUGCUGCAUGGUGUGGGGUGGAAAGUUUCGGCGGUUGGGGAUGGACUCGUGGCUUAGCAGCUUGUUGGUGGGGUAGUGGCUUACCAAGGCUUUGACGGGUAGCCGGACUGAGAGGGUGACCGGCCACAGUGGGACUCAGAUACGGGCCAGACUCCUACGGGCGGCAGCAGUGGGGAAUAUUGCACAAUGGGCGGCAGCCGGAUGCAGCAACGCCGCGUGCGGGAUGACGGCCUUCGGGUUGUAAACCGCUUUCGCCUGUGACGAAGCGUGAGUGACGGUAAUGGGUAAAGAAGCACCGGCUAACUACGUG
This 468-nucleotide ribosomal RNA is filed under the name uncultured bacterium. Its description in RNAcentral is "partial 16S ribosomal RNA". It matches the Rfam family "Bacterial small subunit ribosomal RNA", at positions 28 to 507 of the family's 1533-position model. The record is from RNAcentral.